Molecule: ribosomal RNA, 400 nt
Filed under: Staphylococcus sp.
Lineage: Bacteria; Bacillati; Bacillota; Bacilli; Caryophanales; Staphylococcaceae
Description: bacterial SSU rRNA
Rfam family: Bacterial small subunit ribosomal RNA
Source: RNAcentral
GAUGAACGCUGGCGGCGUGCCUAAUACAUGCAAGUCGAGCGAACAGACGAGGAGCUUGCUCCUUUGACGUUAGCGGCGGACGGGUGAGUAACACGUAGGUAACCUACCUAUAAGACUGGGAUAACUUCGGGAAACCGGAGCUAAUACCGGAUAAUAUUUCGAACCGCAUGGUUCGAUAGUGAAAGAUGGCUUUGCUAUCACUUAUAGAUGGACCUGCGCCGUAUUAGCUAGUUGGUAAGGUAACGGCUUACCAAGGCAACGAUACGUAGCCGACCUGAGAGGGUGAUCGGCCACACUGGAACUGAGACACGGUCCAGACUCCUACGGGAGGCAGCAGUAGGGAAUCUUCCGCAAUGGGCGAAAGCCUGACGGAGCAACGCCGCGUGAGUGAUGAAGGUCU